ACCUCAAGUCAUGUGAGAGUACCCGCUGAACUUAAGCAUAUCAAUAAGCGGAGGAAAAGAAACUAACAAGGAUUCCCCUAGUAACGGCGAGUGAAGCGGGAAGAGCACAAAUUUUAAAUCUACCUUGGUUUUCCAGGUCGAGUUGUAAUUUGAAAGAAACGUUUUUUACGUUCCGGGUUGGAUUAAAUCCUUUGGGAUAAGGUAUCAUGGAGGGUGAGAAUCCCGUGUAUACCAACCACUGGAAUGUUAUUAAUACGAUUUCUAAGAGUCGAGUUGUUUGGGAAUGCAGCUCUAAAUGGGUGGUAAAUUUCACCUAAUGCUAAAUAUAAGCGAGAGACCGAUAGUGAACAAGUACCGUGAGGGAAAGAUGAAAAGAACUUUGAAAAGAGAGUUAAAUAGUACGUGAAAUUGUUGAAAGGGAAACGGUUGAAGUCAGUCAUGCCGGUGGGAAUCAACUUAGGGGAAACUCUAGGUGCACUUCUUCGCUUGGCAGGUUAGCGUCGAUUUUGGAUGUCAUAAAAUGACUGGGGGAAGGUAGCUCCUUCGGGAGUGUUAAGCCCUUGGUAGAUGUGAUGUUCGGGAUCGAGGAUUGCAACGGAUACCCUUUGGGCUAGCCGCCUGGUCUCUAAUACGAAGUUGGGUUAUGGAUAGCAUGCUAACCAUGAUCUGAUUUUCGGUUAAAAGAUUAGAGUGAGUGUAAAUUCGUUAAGGACGCUGACGUAAUGGCUUUAAACGACCCGUCUUGAAACACGGACCAAGGAGUCUAACAUGUAUGCGAGUGUU
Molecule: ribosomal RNA, 783 nt
Filed under: Cetraspora gilmorei
Lineage: Eukaryota; Fungi; Glomeromycota; Glomeromycetes; Diversisporales; Gigasporaceae
Description: eukaryotic LSU rRNA
Rfam family: Eukaryotic large subunit ribosomal RNA
Source: RNAcentral